GACGAACGCUGGCGGCGUGCUUAACACAUGCAAGUCGAACGAAGUGGCGAACGGGUGAGUAACGCGUAAUCAACCUGCCCUUCAGAGGGGGACAACAGUUGGAAACGACUGCUAAUACCGCAUACUGAAGGAGGGGAUUGCGUCGGAUUCGCUAGUUGGAGGGGUAACGGCCCACCAAGGCGAGUGUCAGUAGCCCGUCUGAGAGGAUGAACGGCCCCAUUGGGACUGGGGCACUGCCCAGAAUCCUACGGGAGGGAGCAGGUGGGGAGCUUCCGCAAUGGAGCAAAGUCUGACGGAGCAACGCCGCGUGAGUGAUGACGGCCUUCGGGUUGUAAAGCUCUGUUAAUCGGGACGCGGUACCGGAAUAGAAAGCCACGGCUAACUACGUGCCAGCAGCCGCGGUAAUAC
Molecule: ribosomal RNA, 408 nt
Filed under: uncultured bacterium
Lineage: Bacteria
Description: partial 16S ribosomal RNA
Rfam family: Bacterial small subunit ribosomal RNA
Source: RNAcentral